AUUAACAACAAUCUGUUAAUAGUAGAUGAUUUCUUUUCUUUUUUAAUUUUUAUUUUUUAUUUAAAUUAGAAACAAGCUUCUUUUACAUGUCAAUCUCAGUUCCCUCUCCCUCCCCUACUUCCCCCCCACUGACCCCCCUAUCGCAACCCCUUUCUGCUCCCCAGGGAAGUUGAGGCCUUCCUUUGCGGAUAUUCAAAGUCUGUUAUAUCAUUUGGAGCAGGGCCUAGACCCUACCCAGUGUGUCUAGGCUGCAAGAGUAUCCUCCUAUGAGGAGAGGGCUCCCAAAGUUCAUUUGUGUACUAGGGGUAAAUACUGACCCACUACCAGUGGCCCCAUAGAUUUUCCAGACCUCCAAACUGACCUCCUCCUUCAGGGGGUCUGAAACAGUCCUAUGCUGGUUUCCCAGCUAUCAGUCUGGGGUUCAUGAGCAACCCCUUGUUCAGGCCAGCUGUUUCUUUGGGUUUCUCCAGCCUGAUCUUGACCCCUUUGCUAAUCACUCCUUCCUCUCUGCAACUGGAUUCCAGAGUUCAGCUCAGUGUUUAGCUGUGAGUGCCUGUGUCUGCUUCUGCUUCCAUCAGCUACUGGAUGAAGGCUCUAAGAUGGCGUAUAAGUUCUCAGCAGAGCUGCAAUUGACCAUAAAUGUGAAGAUUUAUUUCUGUACCCAGCUGUGUGCCACACGGUUUCAAUUACUGCAGCUUUGUGAUUCCUGGAGUGCUAGAGACAUUUUCCAGCUUUCCUCGUGACCAGGAGUGAACUUAUGCCUCAGUUCUGGCCCAUAGGAACAAAGUGAAUGAAAGAUCAGCAGUUUCUAGAUGACCCCCUAAGGGCACAGGCCCAGAGGAAUACUUCACUCUUCCUUCAGGCUGAAUGCAGCAUUAACCCAGCUUUGAGACUCAUUGGGACCUGGUAGAAUAGCCA
RNAcentral lists this long non-coding RNA (918 nucleotides) under Cricetulus griseus (Chinese hamster). RNAcentral describes it as "lncRNA (ENSCGRG00015031140.1)". Lineage: Eukaryota; Metazoa; Chordata; Mammalia; Rodentia; Cricetidae. The record is from RNAcentral.